RNAcentral lists this ribosomal RNA (253 nucleotides) under uncultured bacterium. Its description in RNAcentral is "partial 16S ribosomal RNA". It matches the Rfam family "Bacterial small subunit ribosomal RNA", at positions 524 to 776 of the family's 1533-position model. The record is from RNAcentral.
UACGGAGGGUGCAAGCGUUAUCCGGAUUUACUGGGUUUAAAGGGUGCGCAGGCGGAUAUGUAAGUCAGUGGUGAAAUCUCCGGGCUUAACCCGGAAACUGCCGUUGAUACUAUAUAUCUUGAAUGCCGUGGAGGUAAGCGGAAUAUGUCAUGUAGCGGUGAAAUGCUUAGAUAUGACAUAGAACACCUAUUGCGAAGGCAGCUUACUACACGGAGAUUGACGCUCAUGCACGAAAGCGUGGGGAGCAAACAGG